Long non-coding RNA from Symphalangus syndactylus (siamang), 402 nucleotides. RefSeq lists it as uncharacterized. The record is from RefSeq and is a predicted model, not a curated record. NCBI's taxonomy places the organism in Eukaryota, Metazoa, Chordata, Mammalia, Primates, Hylobatidae.
CUGAUCUAUCUUCCUAUGUAUCUGAUGAAUGGUUUAUCCAGGGACUGGCAAAAGGAGAAAAACAAGAUGCAGAGGAAUGAGACUGAGAAUACCACAGUGUGAACAGUUUCCACAAAGUGCUUCAUUUUGGCUCCAGAUUACCCAGAGCUCCUAGGGAAACUGAGCCCGCACCUGGAGCGCCUCUCUGCUCCUCCCCGCGAGCGCCGCUGCAGCCCGGAGACGCCGGUAACCAGCGCCAGGUCUUCCACGCCCGACUCCUCCGGGGUCUGGGGCGCUGGACACCCGUCCUCCUCCUUUCUCCGGGAUUGGCCACGCUGGCAGCGUCGCGGUGUCCAGGUCAGAAGCACCCUGUUGGCUACUUCCUGCCUUAUGUGUGCACCUUCUACCACUUCCACCAGAUCC